This 218-nucleotide long non-coding RNA is filed under the name Actinidia chinensis (golden kiwifruit). Its description in RNAcentral is "long non-coding RNA (ACHI_LNC000406)". The record is from RNAcentral. Lineage: Eukaryota; Viridiplantae; Streptophyta; Magnoliopsida; Ericales; Actinidiaceae.
GUACGGUAAUAUCAUUAAAGGAGAACAAAAGAAAAGGCAAAUAAACAACCACAUUUAGUAAGGUGUGAAUCCUAACUGAUAAGGAAGCUGAGCAACGAGUGAGUCAUAUAGAUCCUAGGAUGUUGACAUUGUCAUGGGAACGUCACAAGGUAGUCUUUACUGUUCAGUUGACCCAUCUAUGAGUUCACCAUUAAAAAUUAAAAAAAAAAACAGAAAAA